UACGUAGGGUGCAAGCGUUGUCCGGAAUUAUUGGGCGUAAAGAGCUCGUAGGCGGUCUGUCGCGUCUGCUGUGAAAACUCAGGGCUUAACCCUGAGCUUGCAGUGGGUACGGGCAGACUAGAGUGCGGUAGGGGAGACUGGAAUUCCUGGUGUAGCGGUGAAAUGCGCGGAUAUCAGGAGGAACACCGAUGGCGAAGGCAGGUCUCUGGGCAUUAACUGACGCUGAGGAGCGAAAGCAUGGGGAGCGAACAGG
RNAcentral lists this ribosomal RNA (253 nucleotides) under uncultured bacterium. Its description in RNAcentral is "partial 16S ribosomal RNA". It matches the Rfam family "Bacterial small subunit ribosomal RNA", at positions 524 to 776 of the family's 1533-position model. The record is from RNAcentral.